UGACCUCAAAUCAGGUAGGACUACCCGCUGAAUUAA
Molecule: ribosomal RNA, 36 nt
Filed under: Agaricus rufoaurantiacus
Lineage: Eukaryota; Fungi; Basidiomycota; Agaricomycetes; Agaricales; Agaricaceae
Description: partial 28S ribosomal RNA
Source: RNAcentral